CCUGCACCCAGUGGGAGAAGAAGGUGGCCUGUCAUAUGCCAUAUGCAUUUGGAUAUUUAAGAUUCUUCUCCUAGGACGGAAGCACCAGAAUAUAAGUAUGGAACCGUGUUACAAAUUUGUUGUUAUACACGUAGUAUGAAAAUAACCAUGUUGGUAAUGCAUCAUCAGAAACAUUUUUGUAACAAAUAUACCAAUGUACGAUCUACAUAUUGUAUUGACUCUUGGUUCCUUAGUCUAGUGAAUUAGCAUAUAUUUCUCAUAUUUUUGAUAGCAUAUUGCUCAAAACCAUUGGUCCAUUGUGACAGGGAAUCCAACUAAGGAAUUGGAUGGAGUGGAAUACAGAUUGUUAUCCACACACUGGGCCACUCAUCAACUUCUAAAGGGUGAUGGACCUUGGCAUUUAGAAAGGUGCGCACCACCGACAGCACAACUACAGAAAGCAGCAUAAAGAAAAGAUAGCUUUCGUUCAAAAAGAGAGAGAUUGGGUGGCAUAUGAUCCUGCGAAGAGUUUACCAGUGUUUGAUGCCAAUGAUCCGUGCCUCAGUGCCACCAGUGGCAGCUGGGACCAUGGAUGCUGUUGCCCCAUCUCCUGUGUUCCCCUCGAGAAUCUCCCUCAUCAUUUGUUCAAAGAGCGCAUAGUCUUCCAUCUGCUUUCAAAUAAUCGGUUCACCAAGUCACGCGAUCAUAACAGUACAAGAGUUGAAAAACAUGAUCGUAAGUCUUAACAAGACUUGAAAAGCAUGAUCAUGCUUCCUUCUCGGCAGCGAGGCGGCGCUCCUCAGCCUCCACCUCCUUCCUCCUCCAGAACUCGUCGAUCUCGGCCCUUGUGAUGCUGUAAACCGGGACUGCCGCCAUGAUCGUUUCCACUCCGGCCUCUGGGAAGCAGGGUCUUUGUUGGCUGCAGAGGAGGCAACUAGAAAGAGAGACGGCACGGCCGGUCAAGCACUCAACCUCCCCCUUUUAUCUGCCCCGGAGUAGUUGUUUCCGGCUAGGUUGAGGACUUGAGGUGUAGCCAGGUCACCUCAUAUAUACACACUCUGCUACAUCUUUAUCUGCAGGAUCUUGCAUCACCCACCUAUCUUGCUGCUGAUAAAACCUUGGCACAAGUUACAGCCACAGACCAUGAACUUCCAGUGGAGAACGAUAGGUUGGGUUGGGUAUGGGUCCCGUUCCGUCUACUCUUCUCAACCAUCGAUUGUGCAACUUUUGUUUGCUUGCUUGUCUUUAGUAGAGAGCCAAUGACUUAAAAAUGAAGAUGAAUGAACAAAGUGGGGAGAAAGGUGGUUGGGGGCAUUGGAUGGUAAAAUAAAAGGACCAAAAAGACUAGGGGUGUGUGUGCCCAAUCCAACCCGCCGGUGUUUUUUGUGGCUUUUCUUUUUCUUUGUGUUGCUUGGUUAUGACCUCUUAGAAACAUAACAUUGUAUUUUUCUGCUAUACCAGUAGAACACAUUCGGUGUUGUUCGUUCAAAAAAAAAGACGUGUGUACCCGUCGGUCUAACGUCACCUCAACUGUUGGAAGCUUGUUAGGGUUUAGGACCAAAGCAGGUCAUAGUAAAUACAUGUGAUUCUAUCCUUGACUUUGGCGGGAGCCACCAUGUGGUCGUUCGCUUUCGUCAAAAGGAACAAUAGGAAUUGAGGUGGUUUGAGCAUGCGUCAAGGAUGGAGGUGAAACAUGUUUGGCUGUUACCAUCACUUUACUGCUCCGGGUAUCAUUGCGUCUAUUCUCAAACGCAGCUGUUAAUGUCAAAGCUGAAAAAGUUAGAGCGAGGAUGGCCCAUCACAGCCACAGUGAAAUACUUUUAACUGCUAAGUAGCUCGGAUUGCGAUAGUUUCCAGUGUGAAUUUGUGAUUCCAACAAGGCCUGUGUGCUGUUCACAAAACG
This is a long non-coding RNA of Panicum virgatum (switchgrass), 1882 nucleotides long. RefSeq lists it as uncharacterized. Lineage: Eukaryota; Viridiplantae; Streptophyta; Magnoliopsida; Poales; Poaceae. The record is from RefSeq and is a predicted model, not a curated record. The transcript is spliced from 4 exons.